Molecule: ribosomal RNA, 253 nt
Filed under: uncultured bacterium
Lineage: Bacteria
Description: partial 16S ribosomal RNA
Rfam family: Bacterial small subunit ribosomal RNA
Source: RNAcentral
UACGGAGGGUGCAAGCGUUAUCCGGAUUCACUGGGUUUAAAGGGUGCGUAGGCGGGUAUGUAAGUCAGCGGUGAAAUCCCCGAGCUUAACUUGGGAACUGCCGUUGAUACUAUAUAUCUUGAAUGUCGUGGAGGUUAGCGGAAUAUGUCAUGUAGCGGUGAAAUGCUUAGAUAUGACAUAGAACACCCAUUGCGAAGGCAGCUCGCUACACUAUUAUUGACGCUGAGGCACGAAAGCGUGGGGAUCAAACAGG